This 330-nucleotide ribosomal RNA is filed under the name uncultured bacterium. Its description in RNAcentral is "bacterial SSU rRNA". It matches the Rfam family "Bacterial small subunit ribosomal RNA", at positions 471 to 793 of the family's 1533-position model. The record is from RNAcentral.
GACGUUAGCGACAGAAGAAAGCACCGGCUAACUCCGUGCCAGCAGCCGCGGUAAUACGGAGGGUGCGAGCGUUAAUCGGAAUUACUGGGCGUAAAGCGCAUGCAGGUGGUUUGUUAAGUCAGAUGUGAAAGACCCGGGGCGUCAACCUCGGAAUAGCAUUUGUAAACUAGGCAGACUAGAGUACUGUAGAGGGGGGUAGGAAUUUCAGGUGUAGCGGUGAAAUGCGUAGAGAUCUGAAGGAAUACCGGUGGCGAAGGCGGCCCCCUCGGACAGAUACUGACACUCAGAUGCGAAAGCGUGGGGAGCAAACAGGAUUAGAUACCCUGGUAG